UGGACAAUGGGCGCAAGCCUGAUCCAGCAAUGCCGCGUGCAGGAUGAAGGCCUUCGGGUUGUAAACUGCUUUUGUACGGAACGAAAAGCCCUGGGUUAAUACCCUGGGGUCAUGACGGUACCGUAAGAAUAAGCACCGGCUAACUACGUGCCAGCAGCCGCGGUAAUACGUAGGGUGCGAGCGUUAAUCGGAAUUACUGGGCGUAAAGCGUGCGCAGGCGGUUUUGUAAGACAGAGGUGAAAUCCCCGGGCUCAACCUGGGAACUGCCUUUGUGACUGCAAGGCUAGAGUACGGCAGAGGGGGAUGGAAUUCCGCGUGUAGCAGUGAAAUGCGUAGAUAUGCGGAGGAACACCGAUGGCGAAGGCAAUCCCCUGGGCCUGUACUGACGCUCAUGCACGAAAGCGUGGGGAGCAAACAGGAUUAGAUACCCUGGUAGUCCACGCCCUAAACGAUGUCAACUGGUUGUUGGGUCUUAACUGACUCAGUAACGAAGCUAACGCGUGAAGUUGACCGCCUGGG
This 519-nucleotide ribosomal RNA is filed under the name uncultured bacterium. Its description in RNAcentral is "bacterial SSU rRNA". It matches the Rfam family "Bacterial small subunit ribosomal RNA", at positions 365 to 877 of the family's 1533-position model. The record is from RNAcentral.